RNAcentral lists this transfer RNA (69 nucleotides) under Paralvinella hessleri. RNAcentral describes it as "tRNA-Lys". Lineage: Eukaryota; Metazoa; Annelida; Polychaeta; Terebellida; Alvinellidae. The record is from RNAcentral.
CCUUAGAGAGCUGUACACCAUUAGCACCAGUCUUUUAAACUGGCGAAAGCAAUCUUAUGCUUCUAAGGA